Molecule: RNA transcript, 296 nt
Organism: Gossypium raimondii (Peruvian cotton)
Lineage: Eukaryota; Viridiplantae; Streptophyta; Magnoliopsida; Malvales; Malvaceae
Exons: 3
Source: RefSeq, a predicted model, not a curated record
UAUCUGAAACAAAUGCCACAAACAUUUUCUUGGUCAAGAAAGGCCGUGUUUUAACCCCUCAUGCUGAUUAUUGUCUUCUUGGGAUUACUCGAGCAACUAUUAUGGAGCUUGUUGUAAAUGAAAAAUUUGAGCUAGUGGAACGAAGAAUUAGCUUAUCUGAGUUCCAUGCAGCAGAUGAGGUAUCCUGUUGUUUUUCUAUCGAAAGCAUUUAUAUGGAAUACUUCUGAAAUUCUAAAGUAACUGCAUAUAAUUGAUGAAGUUCCUUUGAACCAUAUGAAAAGGCCUUAUUUGCUUCU